AGAGUUGGGAAUACCCGAAGCCUGUGAGCUAACAUAUGAGGCAGCAGUCGAAGGUAGAAUCAAUGAUUGGGGUNAAGUCGUAACAAGGUAGC
Molecule: ribosomal RNA, 92 nt
Filed under: uncultured bacterium
Lineage: Bacteria
Description: partial 16S ribosomal RNA
Rfam family: Bacterial small subunit ribosomal RNA
Source: RNAcentral